This 497-nucleotide ribosomal RNA is filed under the name uncultured bacterium. RNAcentral describes it as "partial 16S ribosomal RNA". It matches the Rfam family "Bacterial small subunit ribosomal RNA", at positions 28 to 507 of the family's 1533-position model. The record is from RNAcentral.
GAUGAACGCUGGCGGCGUGCCUAAUACAUGCAAGUCGAGCGAACAGACGAGGAGCUUGCUCCUCUGCCGUUAGCGGCGGACGGGUGAGUAACACGUGGAUAACCUACCUAUAAGACUGGGAUAACUUCGGGAAACCGCAGCUAAUACCGGAUAAUAUAUUGAACCGCAUGGUUCAAUAGUGAAAGACGGUUUUGCUGUCACUUAUAGAUGGAUCCGCGCCGCAUUAGCUAGUUGGUAAGGUAACGGCUUACCAAGGCAACGAUGCGUAGCCGACCUGAGAGGGUGAUCGGCCACACUGGAACUGAGACACGGUCCAGACUCCUACGGGAGGCAGCAGUAGGGAAUCUUCGGCAAUGGGCGAAAGCCUGACGGAGCAACGCCGCGUGAGUGAUGAAGGUCUUCGGAUCGUAAAACUCUGUUAUUAGGGAAGAACAAAUGUGUAAGAAACUAUGCACGUCUUGACGGUACCUAAUCAGAAAGCCACGGCUAACUACGUG